UUCGACUAUAUAAAGGAGAGAUAAAAGCAGAGAGCAAUUUUGAGUCCAAGAAACCUAGCCGAUUCAGAACCUGAAAUUCUAAUUAUUAUUAUUCUUCUUCUUCUUCUUCUCUAUUCUCAAAAUGGUGUUCGUCGAAGUCCAAGGCCAACCCGAUCUGUAUUCAAGAUUGCCAAUGAGUUGUGAGGAAGUAGGCGCUGCGAAAAAAAGAAGAGUAUUCAAGAUUUCGUGCAAGAUCUCGUUAGGAGAUGUCAGGGAUUACGAGAUCUUCCAACAGAUUUCAGUAUUCAAUGGUGAGCACCGCGAGUGGUUUUACCCAAAGAUCUCAACCCCGUGUGUGGUCUACACGUGGCACAACCCCUCAAAGAGGUAUCCGUACGACAAUAACAGAAACAAAAAAAAAGAGUUCACACUCUGUUCUCUGCUCUGCUCUAACCGUCUCGGCUCUAACUUCACAGAAACAAAAUAGCUACCAUUCGCAGGUGAAAAGUAGCCUUCUCUCAUUCCUUUCCCUCUCACUUUUGCUCUUUUUUCCCGUUUUCUUAUCUUCGUCCUCUCUCUCUCUCUCUCUCUCUCUCUCUCUCUCUCUCUCUUUAGUUUCAUUCCGUAGCAGAAGAUCAAAUCCAA
This 624-nucleotide long non-coding RNA is filed under the name Capsella rubella. RNAcentral describes it as "long non-coding RNA (CRUB_LNC005219)". The record is from RNAcentral. Lineage: Eukaryota; Viridiplantae; Streptophyta; Magnoliopsida; Brassicales; Brassicaceae.